UGCCACCACCUUGCCUUGUCAUGUC
This 25-nucleotide unclassified non-coding RNA is filed under the name Mus musculus (house mouse). Its description in RNAcentral is "oocyte_clustered_small_RNA13307". Lineage: Eukaryota; Metazoa; Chordata; Mammalia; Rodentia; Muridae. The record is from RNAcentral.